RNAcentral lists this long non-coding RNA (419 nucleotides) under Chrysolophus pictus (golden pheasant). RNAcentral's name for it is "lncRNA (ENSCPIG00010008225.1)". Lineage: Eukaryota; Metazoa; Chordata; Aves; Galliformes; Phasianidae. The record is from RNAcentral.
CACCCUGCUCCCUCUGCAGAAGAGCAGAAGAGAAGCCUGCAGCAGGAAGCCUUUGGAGACGGCCUGCGAAGAAGUCCUGCAUGAUCAAACACGAUGCCUGGAGAGCUGGAUUUUAUAAAUAUGCAGCCCUGUCCUCCCAUUUCCUCUUCUUUUAGCUUCUGAGAAGACUGCAGCCAUCUCAGCCUUAUGGGACAGGAUUGGCUCGUGGCCACAGAUUUCACACUUGGUUUCAUGAGCAAAACCUAAACAGGCCCCGACUGCAGAGACCGUUGUGAGCAGCUGAGCUGCAGAUGGAUUUCUGGGGAGGGCAAGAGAGGUCUGGACAGGCCUCAACGCUUAGAAUUCCUGCAGUUCAUAGGGGAACAGACACAUCACAGGAAAUCAAGAUACUCACUGACUGCUUAAGAAAGACCAACUAG